AACAAUGCUAUUAAGCAGUACUACACAAGAAAUGUAGUGAACAAUAUUUCAGAGCCUAACUUGAUUCAUUUUCUAGUAACAUUGGAGAAUACACCAUUUUGCCAAGUGCAACUCACACUGAUUUUACUUUCUUUGGUAUGCUCUGGGCUUUUUAUUGUUGUUUUUAAAACUUCCAUUGAGGUAUAUCCUUUAGUAAGAAUUGCAGAAUUUAAGAUGAUGAAGAGUCUCAUCUGACAGGGAGAAAGUGUUUUCCAGUGCUUGCUCCAGGCCACUUCAAAUGAUGGAAUCUUACAAUUUAUCUUAAGAGAACUCUCAAUAUGAUAUCUAUGUUUAAGAUACGUGGGGCAGGGAGGAGGUCAGGGAGGGAAAAUCUGUGCUUAUGAGUAUGUAACUUCAGGUGGAUGGAGCUGAGCUGAAUGUAUAUAAAAUUUGGAGAUCUCCCCCACUAACCUAACAGGAAAUCUAUAUCAAUCCCUGAUUUCUUAUGCUGAUCUUUGUAAAAUACAAUACUUGUUUCUACUUACAGUUUGGUUCCAGAGAAGAAAUUAAUUGUGACCUAAAGAAGUCCUUGCUUACAACAUUUGGAGGUGCUCAAGGCAGAUGGACAUCCUUCCUGUCUGAAUGGUGACGGGCUUUCUCCAGGCUGGUGAGAAUGUUGUUCCACAGGACCAUCCAGUCAAGGAGGACACGCGAAGGGACCUUCCACCAUUCUCUUCUAAGACAAAGCUUAGCAAGGAACAGGGAAGAGAGAGGACAGAGAGGGAGCAGAAGAGUGAGUGCAAGAGUUGCAUCAAUGUAACCCUAAUCUGGGGUCACAAGAAGAUAGAAAAAGGUUUGCUCUUGCUAGGGAGGCUCGGGAUUGAGCCUUAUACCCCAUGCACUAUUUUCUGCAACUGUUUUGCAAUGUUUAUUAUGCUGAAAGGAAAUGUAAACAUCUGUUACACUUAUGCACUGGGGCGCUUGAAUUAUGCAUUUCCAAGAACUCGAUGUGCAGUUUGAUCAUCUCCUGUGUUCCCCACAUAGAGAAUCUGAGAUGCAAAGGGAGGAGGGGGGGAUACGGCUGUUCCCACAUACAGGAUUUUACCAGAGCAGAACCGUAACAGGCACUGCAUCUGCUCUAGCAGAAGGACCUGUACGAAUACACGCAGAGAAUUUACAGGAUUUGUCUUUUCCCAAAGGAAAAGACCAAAGAAUUGCAUUCUUCUGGAGGGUUAUUUAACUUUUUUUUUUUUUCCCCACACACAAUCGUAAGGCAUAAAUUGAUUUUCGGAGCGUCUGAAGUUCUCGGUGUGGUCCCGUGUCUCCUUAAAGGGGGCAAUAAGAGCUCCAAGAACCUGCACGGAGGGAGGCACCCUCGCUGCGAAUAGGAGCCGUAUCCCGAUGGCCCCGCUCCGGUGCCAGCCCGCCCAGACCCG
This 1415-nucleotide long non-coding RNA is filed under the name Cyanistes caeruleus (blue tit). Its description in RNAcentral is "lncRNA (ENSCCEG00000002021.1)". Lineage: Eukaryota; Metazoa; Chordata; Aves; Passeriformes; Paridae. The record is from RNAcentral.